GGCUGAGCAGGAGCUCCUGGAUGCCACUGAACGUGCGCAGCUCCUCCAUACCCAGAACACCAGCUUGAUCAACACCAAGAAGAAGCUG
This is a long non-coding RNA of Neopelma chrysocephalum (saffron-crested tyrant-manakin), 88 nucleotides long. RefSeq lists it as uncharacterized. The transcript is spliced from 2 exons. The record is from RefSeq and is a predicted model, not a curated record. Lineage: Eukaryota; Metazoa; Chordata; Aves; Passeriformes; Pipridae.